RNAcentral lists this ribosomal RNA (334 nucleotides) under uncultured eukaryote. RNAcentral's name for it is "partial 18S ribosomal RNA". It matches the Rfam family "Eukaryotic small subunit ribosomal RNA", at positions 1470 to 1796 of the family's 1831-position model. The record is from RNAcentral.
CCCUUAGAUGUCCGGGGCCGCACGCGCGCUACACUGAAGGAAUCAGCGUGGCUUUCUCCCUGACCCGAAAGGGUUGGGAAACCCGUUGAAUCUCCUUCGUGAUAGGGAUUGGGGCUUGAAAUUGUUCCCCAUGAACGAGGAAUUCCCAGUAAGCGCGAGUCAUAAGCUCGCGUUGAUUACGUCCCUGCCCUUUGUACACACCGCCCGUCGCUACUACCGAUUGAACGGUUUAGUGAGGGCCUCGGACUGGUCUCGGCCCGCUCUUUACCGGGCGGCGCCGUUGGUCGAGAAGACGCUCGAACUUGAUCGUUUAGAGGAAGUAAAAGUCGUAACA